This 253-nucleotide ribosomal RNA is filed under the name uncultured bacterium. RNAcentral's name for it is "partial 16S ribosomal RNA". It matches the Rfam family "Bacterial small subunit ribosomal RNA", at positions 524 to 776 of the family's 1533-position model. The record is from RNAcentral.
UACAGAGGGGGCUAGCGUUGUUCGGAAUUACUGGGCGUAAAGGGCGCGUAGGCGGCCCUCUAAGUCGAACGUGAAAUCCCCGGGCUCAACCCGGGAACUGCGUCCGAUACUGGAGGGCUCGAAUCCGGGAGAGGGAUGUGGAAUUCCAGGUGUAGCGGUGAAAUGCGCAGAUAUCAGGAGGAACACCGGUGGCGAAGGCGGGUCUCUGGGCCGAUACUGACGCUGAGGAGCGAAAGCGUGGGGAGCGAACAGG